This 636-nucleotide ribosomal RNA is filed under the name Lactiplantibacillus plantarum. RNAcentral's name for it is "bacterial SSU rRNA". It matches the Rfam family "Bacterial small subunit ribosomal RNA", at positions 56 to 658 of the family's 1533-position model. The record is from RNAcentral. Lineage: Bacteria; Bacillati; Bacillota; Bacilli; Lactobacillales; Lactobacillaceae.
UGCAGUCGAACGAACUCUGGUAUUGAUUGGUGCUUGCAUCAUGAUUUACAUUUGAGUGAGUGGCGAACUGGUGAGUAACACGUGGGAAACCUGCCCAGAAGCGGGGGAUAACACCUGGAAACAGAUGCUAAUACCGCAUAACAACUUGGACCGCAUGGUCCGAGUUUGAAAGAUGGCUUCGGCUAUCACUUUUGGAUGGUCCCGCGGCGUAUUAGCUAGAUGGUGGGGUAACGGCUCACCAUGGCAAUGAUACGUAGCCGACCUGAGAGGGUAAUCGGCCACAUUGGGACUGAGACACGGCCCAAACUCCUACGGGAGGCAGCAGUAGGGAAUCUUCCACAAUGGACGAAAGUCUGAUGGAGCAACGCCGCGUGAGUGAAGAAGGGUUUCGGCUCGUAAAACUCUGUUGUUAAAGAAGAACAUAUCUGAGAGUAACUGUUCAGGUAUUGACGGUAUUUAACCAGAAAGCCACGGCUAACUACGUGCCAGCAGCCGCGGUAAUACGUAGGUGGCAAGCGUUGUCCGGAUUUAUUGGGCGUAAAGCGAGCGCAGGCGGUUUUUUAAGUCUGAUGUGAAAGCCUUCGGCUCAACCGAAGAAGUGCAUCGGAAACUGGGAAACUUGAGUGCAGAAGAGGA